This 1514-nucleotide ribosomal RNA is filed under the name uncultured bacterium. Its description in RNAcentral is "partial 16S ribosomal RNA". It matches the Rfam family "Bacterial small subunit ribosomal RNA". The record is from RNAcentral.
AUGGCUCAGGAUGAACGCCGGCGGUGUGCCUAAUACAUGCAAGUCGUACGCACUGGCCCAACUGAUUGAUGGUGCUUGCACCUGAUUGACGAUGGAUCACCAGUGAGUGGCGGACGGGUGAGUAACACGUAGGUAACCUGCCCCGGAGCGGGGGAUAACAUUUGGAAACAGAUGCUAAUACCGCAUAACAACAAAAGCCACAUGGCUUUUGUUUGAAAGAUGGCUUUGGCUAUCACUCUGGGAUGGACCUGCGGUGCAUUAGCUAGUUGGUAAGGUAACGGCUUACCAAGGCGAUGAUGCAUAGCCGAGUUGAGAGACUGAUCGGCCACAAUGGAACUGAGACACGGUCCAUACUCUUACGGGAGGCAGCAGUAGGGAAUCUUCCACAAUGGGCGCAAGCCUGAUGGAGCAACACCGCGUGAGUGAAGAAGGGUUUCGGCUCGUAAAGCUCUGUUGUUGGAGAAGAACGUGCGUGAGAGUAACUGUUCACGCAGUGACGGUAUCCAACCAGAAAGUCACGGCUAACUACGUGCCAGCAGCCGCGGUAAUACGUAGGUGGCAAGCGUUAUCCGGAUUUAUUGGGCGUAAAGCGAGCGCAGGCGGUUGCUUAGGUCUGAUGUGAAAGCCUUCGGCUUAACCGAAGAAGUGCAUCGGAAACCGGGCGACUUGAGUGCAGAAGAGGACAGUGGAACUCCAUGUGUAGCGGUGGAAUGCGUAGAUAUAUGGAAGAACACCAGUGGCGAAGGCGGCUGUCUGGUCUGCAACUGACGCUGAGGCUCGAAAGCAUGGGUAGCGAACAGGAUUAGAUACCCUGGUAGUCCAUGCCGUAAACGAUGAGUGCUAGGUGUUGGAGGGUUUCCGCCCUUCAGUGCCGGAGCUAACGCAUUAAGCACUCCGCCUGGGGAGUACGACCGCAAGGUUGAAACUCAAAGGAAUUGACGGGGGCCCGCACAAGCGGUGGAGCAUGUGGUUUAAUUCGAAGCUACGCGAAGAACCUACCAGGUCUUGACAUCUUGCGCUAACCUUAGAGAUAAGGCGUUCCCUUCGGGGACGCAAUGACAGGUGGUGCAUGGUCGUCGUCAGCUCGUGUCGUGAGAUGUUGGGUUAAGUCCCGCAACGAGCGCAACCCUUGUUACUAGUUGCCAGCAUUAAGUUGGGCACUCUAGUGAGACUGCCGGUGACAAACCGGAGGAAGGUGGGGACGACGUCAGAUCAUCAUGCCCCUUAUGACCUGGGCUACACACGUGCUACAAUGGACGGUACAACGAGUUGCAAACUCGCGAGAGCAAGCUAAUCUCUUAAAGCCGUUCUCAGUUCGGACUGUAGGCUGCAACUCGCCUACACGAAGUCGGAAUCGCUAGUAAUCGCGGAUCAGCAUGCCGCGGUGAAUACGUUCCCGGGCCUUGUACACACCGCCCGUCACACCAUGGGAGUUUGUAACGCCCAAAGUCGGUGGCCUAACCUUUAUGGAGGGAGCCGCCUAAGGCGGGACAGAUGACUGGGGUGAAGUCGUA